AGUCGAACGCUUCUUUUUCCACCGGAGCUUGCUCCACCGGAAAAAGAGGAGUGGCGAACGGGUGAGUAACACGUGGGUAACCUGCCCAUCAGAAGGGGAUAACACUUGGAAACAGGUGCUAAUACCGUAUAACAAUCGAAACCGCAUGGUUUUGAUUUGAAAGGCGCUUUCGGGUGUCGCUGAUGGAUGGACCCGCGGUGCAUUAGCUAGUUGGUGAGGUAACGGCUCACCAAGGCCACGAUGCAUAGCCGACCUGAGAGGGUGAUCGGCCACAUUGGGACUGAGACACGGCCCAAACUCCUACGGGAGGCAGCAGUAGGGAAUCUUCGGCAAUGGACGAAAGUCUGACCGAGCAACGCCGCGUGAGUGAAGAAGGUUUUCGGAUCGUAAAACUCUGUUGUUAGAGAAGAACAAGGAUGAGAGUAACUGUUCAUCCCUUGACGGUAUCUAACCAGAAAGCCACGGCUAACUACGUGCCAGCAGCCGCGGUAAUACGUAGGUGGCAAGCGUUGUCCGGAUUUAUUGGGCGUAAAGCGAGCGCAGGCGGUUUCUUAAGUCUGAUGUGAAAGCCCCCGGCUCAACCGGGGAGGGUCAUUGGAAACUGGGAGACUUGAGUGCAGAAGAGGAGAGUGGAAUUCCAUGUGUAGCGGUGAAAUGCGUAGAUAUAUGGAGGAACACCAGUGGCGAAGGCGGCUCUCUGGUCUGUAACUGACGCUGAGGCUCGAAAGCGUGAGGAGCAAACAGGAUUAGAUACCCUGGUAGUCCACGCCGUAAACGAUGAGUGCUAAGUGUUGGAGGGUUUCCGCCCUUCAGUGCUGCAGCUAACGCAUUAAGCACUCCGCCUGGGGAGUACGACCGCAAGGUUGAAACUCAAAGGAAUUGACGGGGGCCGCACAAGCGGUGGAGCAUGUGGUUUAAUUCGAAGCAACGCGAAGAACCUUACCAGGUCUUGACAUCCUUUGACACUCUAGAGAUAGAGCUUCCCCUUCGGGGGCAAGUGACAGUGCUGCAUGCUGUCGUCAGCUCGUGUCGUGAGAUGAUGGGAUCACGUCCGCUAUCGAA
This 1062-nucleotide ribosomal RNA is filed under the name Salmonella enterica subsp. enterica serovar Heidelberg. RNAcentral describes it as "bacterial SSU rRNA". It matches the Rfam family "Bacterial small subunit ribosomal RNA", at positions 60 to 1096 of the family's 1533-position model. The record is from RNAcentral. Lineage: Bacteria; Pseudomonadati; Pseudomonadota; Gammaproteobacteria; Enterobacterales; Enterobacteriaceae.